RNAcentral lists this transfer RNA (77 nucleotides) under Candidatus Peregrinibacteria bacterium. RNAcentral's name for it is "tRNA-Pro". It matches the Rfam family "tRNA". From Rfam's summary of the family: Transfer RNA (tRNA) molecules are approximately 80 nucleotides in length. The record is from RNAcentral. RNAcentral also lists the same sequence under 2 other names. Lineage: Bacteria; Candidatus Peregrinibacteriota.
CGGGGUGUAGCACAGUUGGCUAGUGCGCGCGGUUUGGGACCGCGAGGUCGAAGGUUCGAGUCCUUUCACCCCGACCA